This is an RNA transcript of Magnolia sinica, 2192 nucleotides long. It is a transcript of the gene named cyclin-SDS-like, with no coding region annotated. The transcript is spliced from 5 exons. Lineage: Eukaryota; Viridiplantae; Streptophyta; Magnoliopsida; Magnoliales; Magnoliaceae. The record is from RefSeq and is a predicted model, not a curated record.
UUUUUGAGAGGUUUCUUUCAAAUAAUUGUCUUUUCUGAUCGAAUUUUAGCCCAGAAUCCCUUAUCUAUGGAGAUUCUCUAACUUUUGAGAUCUAAUUUGUGGGUUUCAGCUCCUGAAUCGGGGUUUCUGCUCUCCAGUUCGGGUUUUUUGAAACGUUUCUUUUGGUUUGCUCGUUUUUAAAGGAGAUUCUUUUGAUUUGAGAACUUAAAUGAGGAUCUGCACUUGCUUUUUUUCUUUUUUUUCCUUCUCGGUUUUGAGAGGAUUCAAAUGCCGAGAUUUCAAUGGAUUUUGCGGGAGUUUGGGAAAUUUUAAUGCAGUUCCUGUUUCUGGAAAGAUAAUGUCUAGUAAUGGUUUAAGAAAGCGUGGGUUUGGAGGAUUUUGUGUUUGGAAAUUGCUGAUUUCCACAGUUGAAUUAAGGUAUUUUUUUUCUCUGUUUCUGCUUGGAAUUUAGCUUCAGAUCUUCUUUGAUGGAAUAUUUUUCAUUUUUCGAUCUUGUUUUAGGUGGGAUAUAUGAAUCUUUACUGUUUUAUUUGUUUUGACGAACAAAAAAAAAAGAUCAUAGAAUUAGCAAAAUUUAUAAUGUGAUUUCCAAGUUUAAGAAAAUGUGGCGAGGAUUUGAGUAAUGUUUUAAAUUUUCACUGCAUUUGAAUGAUUUACUACUGCUAUAUUGUAGGUUUAGCUCCAACAUCUGGUUGCAGGAAUUAGCCUUUUGGGAUGCUUGUUGAUGUCAUGAUACUUGUUUACUUCUGCUUGAAAUUUGGCUUUGAAUUCACCCAAUGGAUAUGCUCUUUCUUUUUCUACUUUUUUUGAGAUAAUGUUUUUGCAUAAGGACACAUUGAUUAAAAAAGGAAACGCACAGCUGAACCAUUUUUAUGCAUUCACUGCUAAGAAUCAUCCAAUCUUAUAAGAGUUAGUGAGAGUUAACAACUACAAUGCCUUCUGUUUAUGGUUAUUUAAUGGUGAGCUGAUCUGAGUAAUCAUUUGAGAAAUGCAGGUUCGGGGUUGGACGUUCACAAUAUUUGCUGGAUCAUGAAAUUUUUGACGAGAAGAAAAGAACUGAUGAAAGAAAAGAAGUGUGAUGUUUCUUCUAGAUGACCUACUCUUGUUAAAGGUGUAGAUUGGUGUGGGUUUUCAUGAGCUUGGAGUGGGUUUCGGUUUGUCUUCCAGAGCAUGAUACCUGAUAAAUUUCUAUUGCAUUGCCAGGAAAUGUCAGGUUGCCUGGCAUUUAAGUGUGUUAGUGUAAAUUGCCAAUUUGAUGGGCUACCACAUGGAUUGUAGAUGGCCAGAGCUCAGAAAGCAAGUUGAUUGCCUGUCAUGGUCAUCCUUUUAGUGGCCUAAAAAAUGAGAGCACUUGUGUAUGGCAACCGAGACUAUCAGCUUGGUGGCUACCACAUGGAUCAUGGAUGGCUGGACCUCAGAAUGUAAGUCGAUCAGACUCAUAGUCAUCUGAUUAGUUGCCUAAAAGGGAGAUGGUUAGCUCAAAUAAUGAGCAGCAGUCUCCAUUCAGCUGCAAAACUCGCAACAAUUGGAUGGUCAGAGACGUUUAGUCGCUGUAAAAAUUUAGACGGAGAGUAUGUCGAGUUUUCUCAGCGUCGUUUUCGUCGAUCCUAGGAGAGUCGUCGGUUGAUUCAGAAACAUCCGGCUGUAAUUCCACUCUGUCGGUCAAUUUUUCGCUGUUUUUACAAUACACGAAGCGGUUGUCGAGGUCGAGCUCGCAUCUGGAAUUUGGAGCAUCUGAUGGAAUUGAAGACGAAUACUCUGACGAAUUUACAGUCAGAUCUUCAAUUUCCAUAAAAUUUCUUAAUUUUUUUAGUUGUUUUGUAUUUAUAUUGUCUAAAUUGAUAUUGUAAUUUUUAGCUUUUGAGGUUCGAAAAUGAAGAGCAUGAAGAGAGCUACAAAAAGCUCAGGAACAGGGAGAGGAGACACGAGUAUCGGCACGACUAUGCCGAGGAAUACGGCCCGACAACAGAGUACGGAGAUGUCGUGCUCCAGCAGCAGCUGCUGAUGGUGAACUGGAUAAUCGAGGUAGCAAUGGCCUAGAAAAGAUUAAUUCAUGAUCUUUCUUGUACCAGAAGGGCAGGGACUGGCACUACUGCAGAUAUGAUCGGGCAGUUUAGAAAAUUGCUACGUUAGGAAGGAAGAUUUGUUAAUAUUUUCUCUUCAACAUCAUUUUAGCAUGACUAACCAAUUGU